UAAACUUAUCUAAAUCUAGCUGUCCAACAAUUUUAAAUGAUACUUAUCAUGGGAUGCACCAAAAUGCCAUGAAGAGAACUCUUCUACUUUUUCAAAAUAUAUUCUAGAGCAGACUAUUGAAUUAAUAUAAUUAUAGAUAGAUUAUAAUAAUAGGACUAGUCACUAGAUUUGACUAGAAGAAUAGAUUGUCACUAGAUCACUAGAUCUACUACUCAGAUCUAGACUCUAGACCUAGUCUACUCUAGUAGUAGUCUCUAGUAUCAUCAAGUACUAGUAGAUCAUCUAUGACUAGGUCUAGAAAACAUAUAUGACAUGUGGCAUACAGAAAAGUUUACUAGAUGGAUCUUUCAUCAUUUUGGAAAUACAAUAUUCCCUGUGAAACAAAUCACAGAAACAUUCUACAAUUUAUUUUAUAUAAUAAAUACCAAUAAAUGUAAAUACAAAAUCACAUUUUAAUAGAGUUCUUCAUUAUACACACAACAUUAUUUUAGUAUGUUCCUUUUCACUUGCUAGGUUUAGACAAAGUUUCGAAUCAGGAUUUAAUAUUAUUAAGUCAUAGCCCAAAACUCCAGCAGGAUGUUAGUUAAUGGCAGUGGUCAAUGUUUGAACCUGAGACCACAGAGAAGACAGUUCGGAAUGCAAACCACACAACUUUCUGCGUUUCGAAACCUAUUCAAAUUUUGAUCAUUUUUAUGUUAAUGCAGAUCUGAAUGUCCAUUGCAAUGAUGACUUGAUCUGUAAAGGGUUACAUUUUUUAAAAAUAAUUUGGAUCUCAUUCUUCGAAUGAUGCUAUUUAUUAGAAAUUGCAACGUAGAAUACAUAUAAGAGGCCAAAAGAAAAUCCACUGAUGAGGGAAGACGUCGUAAAGAACAUUUAAAUUGACCACCAGCUGAAUAUGGUUAUGUCUUCGCUGGACGCUGCAAAAUAUCUAGUUAGCAGCUGGGGCUGCGUAGCCAUGGAAAAUACUGCAUUUCUCAUUAAUCUUUCGACUCGACUGCCAGCCUUAUUUAUUAAACACUUUAAAUUAUGAAUAGCUCCGCAUUUUUUAAUAACAAUAAAAAAUAUAUAUAUAUUCAGUGAUUAACUGGCAGUAAUUGAGUUACAAAAAUUUAAUAAAAUGAGUUGCAUAAUUACAUCAACAGUAGCCUAUAUGCAUUACUUAACAUUAUAUUGAUACUAUAAUUUAUUUUCUACUUCCCUGACUUCCCAGAGAAAAGAAAAAAACGACAACUCCUUCUCCAGUAGGAUAAUCUCUUUCAUUUAUAGUCUAAACACAAUUUAAAACUUUGUUACCUACAGUUACAGAUUAACUUGCUAACUUAACUAUCUAAUAAUCUAAUGAUUCUAUUCCAAUCAACAAAUGAGUCAAGCGUGAGAUAAAUGAAAACUCUUAAAUUUUUAGAUAUAUAUUUAUAGAACUAUGUAAGUAUAUAGGCCCGAAUAUACGGUACGAAUAUAUUUAAAUGAGUGUAAUAAAAUCCAUAUUUCGUAUAUUAAUAAUAUUAUAGAAUUGGUAGAUCUAGGUCUAAUUUUUGCCUUAUAGAUUAGUUUUUAGAAAUUUAGAUCUAGUACUUUUUUUACUAGUAGAUCUAAAUCAGACUACUUUUAAGUCUAAGUUAAGGUUUAAGUUAAAGCUAUUUGCCUAGUGUUGUACGGGGUUGUGACUCUAGAUUCAAACUAAAUAUAAUCGUAUACUACAAUAACUACAUUGAAUGAGCUCAACAUUCACAUUGUAAUAAUUGUUUUUUUCCCAUAUUGGGCCUAUUUAGGGACGACUAUAGGUUAAUAAUCACUAAGUGUAUAGAUAGAGUAUAUAAUUUUAAACUUUGUUUUUCUAGAUCUAGGC
Biomphalaria glabrata is the source of this 1846-nucleotide long non-coding RNA. RefSeq lists it as uncharacterized. The record is from RefSeq and is a predicted model, not a curated record. Lineage: Eukaryota; Metazoa; Mollusca; Gastropoda; Planorbidae. The transcript has 2 exons.